RNAcentral lists this ribosomal RNA (495 nucleotides) under Craterostigmus tasmanianus. RNAcentral's name for it is "partial 16S ribosomal RNA". It matches the Rfam family "Bacterial large subunit ribosomal RNA", at positions 1831 to 2600 of the family's 2925-position model. The record is from RNAcentral. Lineage: Eukaryota; Metazoa; Arthropoda; Chilopoda; Craterostigmomorpha; Craterostigmidae.
CGUUUUUUGUUAUAAUAAAAAAUAAGGCCUGCUCUAUGAGAGGGUUUAAUGGCCGCAGUAUAUUGACUGUGCAAAGGUAGCGUAAUAAUUAGUCUUUUAAUUGAGGUCCAGUAUGAAUGGCUACAUGGGGGGAAUCUUUCUUACUUUCAAGAAAAUUGAAUUUCUUAUCAAAGUGAGGAAACUUUGGUGGGUCUAAAAGACAAGAAGACCCUAUCAAGCUUUACUUUAGAGUUUAAGCGUAAAGUUGGAGGAAAGUUUAAUUAAAAAGUUUCGUUGGGGCAAUGUUAAUGAUUUAAUAUUAAGGUAAGUUGAUUACUUGCAAAUUUUUUGGUCCAGAAUUUCUGUUUUGUAGAAUAAGUUACUGUAGGGAUAACAGCGUAAUUUCUUUGGAGAGUUCAUAUCGAUAGAGGAGUUUGCGACCUCGAUGUUGAAUUAAAGUACCUUAAGGGCGCAAGAGUUUUUAAAGGUAGUCUGUUCGACUAUUAAAUCUUUACA